This is a long non-coding RNA of Harmonia axyridis, 1336 nucleotides long. RefSeq lists it as uncharacterized. The record is from RefSeq and is a predicted model, not a curated record. The transcript is spliced from 5 exons. NCBI's taxonomy places the organism in Eukaryota, Metazoa, Arthropoda, Insecta, Coleoptera, Coccinellidae.
AGACCUAAUAUCAAAUGGACAGGCCCUUAGAGAGAAAUUCUGGCAUGCCGCAUAUGAAAGAGAGAGAUGGAGCUAGAUGAGUCAACGUCAAAAUCAUAUGAUCAAAACAUUGAACUCACAUUCAGAAAAUCGCUAAUUUUUCUCUCAUUCUGAAUUGAACACAUAGUUAAUCUGAUUGAUUCGAUUUGUAAAAGUGUUGAACAUUCUAAUAAAAGGAAUUAGCGAAUCCAUCUGCUAUUGCGAAAUUCAAAGUACCAUAAGAACUUAUUUUCAAAUAAAAUGCCUCACACUCGUGCAGCCUUCAAUUGUACAGCGAGAUUAGAAAAAAGCCAAAAGUUGAAAUUUCUUUCUUCACAGUUUUCCAAAGGAUGACAAAUUAAGGGAACAGUGGAUGAAAGCUGAAGAAGAAUUGAUUUCAACCCUUUUUCCUUGUUGAAAAUAUGCAGCAACCGUUUUCAUCAACAUGAUUUAUUAAUAUUCAUGGUACAAAAACUCUGAAAAAAGAUGUUAUUCCUUCAGUUUUCAGUUUCUCCAAUUAUAUGCCUGAGAGAUUAAAUUAUGGAGAUAAAUGUCUUGAAGAUAAUAUUGAAGGUACAUUAAUAUUUUAUUUUUUAUGGAUGUGAAAUAUCUAUUUAUUUUCCGUCCCUUAUUUUAUUCAUUCAUAUAAAUAAUUAUUGCAAAAGAAAUUGAACAGGAUCAGCCAGAGACAAAACAGCAAGAGAUGGGGCAACCAGAGAUGGUACAACUGUUUAUAAUAUCAAAAUCCUCUGCUGCUGCCAUGGAAGAUUUUCCCCCCAGAUUGAAUACUAAUAUUAGAAAUACUAGAAAUUAGAAACCUGGGAAUGAGGAUUUCCAAGAAUGGAACACUAGACGAAGUAAUAUCUGAGAGAAACAUCCAAAGAAAACCAAUAAUCUCAAUGUUAAGUAGGAUAUUAUCGAUUGAAAACAUAAAUCUGAAUAAUAAGUAAAAAUUUACUCAAUAGUUAGGAGCAUAAUAACAUACAGCUCUGAAGUGGACAGCAGCUGGAAAAUCUGAAAGGGACAUGAUACCAAAUGAUUCAAUAAGACAUAGAAUGGAAAUAAGACAUGAUAUUAUUGAUCUUAAGAACACAACAGUUGGUUUGGUACAGACAAGUCCAUAAAUACUUAUGAUACUAGGUGUGAUUUAAACAAUAAUAAUUUUGAAAUUUUCAGUUUUUUAGAUUGCCAUACUAAAUGAGGAACAUAUUCUGUGCCGUGGCUUAAAAAUUCAUCUUUAGAGAAGCUCAUUCACUGAAAGGCUGAAAAUGGGAAAAAUGAAUGUAUCAUAACUGAUCCUUGGAGAGAUAAGAAGAAG